GCAAUGGUGGUUCAGUGGUAGAAUUCUCACGUUCCAUGCCAGAGACCCGAGUUUGAUUCCCCGCCAAUGCA
RNAcentral lists this transfer RNA (71 nucleotides) under Loxodonta africana (African savanna elephant). It matches the Rfam family "tRNA". From Rfam's summary of the family: Transfer RNA (tRNA) molecules are approximately 80 nucleotides in length. Lineage: Eukaryota; Metazoa; Chordata; Mammalia; Proboscidea; Elephantidae. The record is from Rfam by way of RNAcentral.